CCCGUGAUCGCCUGUGUCGAGCACACGGCUCAUAAUCGUGGUGUCGCGGGUUCAAGUCCCGCUCCCGCUACAA
Molecule: transfer RNA, 73 nt
Filed under: Naasia lichenicola
Lineage: Bacteria; Bacillati; Actinomycetota; Actinomycetes; Micrococcales; Microbacteriaceae
Description: Naasia sp. YIM 131853 tRNA-Met
Source: RNAcentral